GACGAACGCUGGCGGCGUGCUUAACACAUGCAAGUCGAACGAUGAAGCGGGUGCUUGCACUCGUGGAUUAGUGGCGAACGGGCGAGUAACACGUGAGUAACCUGUCCUUUUCUUUGGGAUAACGGCUGGAAACGGCUGCUAAUACUGGAUAUUCAGGCUGCAUCGCAUGGUGUGGUUUGGAAAGGUUUUUUCUUGGAUUGGGUGGGCUCGCGGCCUAUCAGCUUGUUGGUGGGGUGAUGGAUUACCAAGGCUUUGACGGGUAGCCGGCCUGAGAGGGUGGUCGGUCGCACAGGGACUGAGGUACGGCCCAGACUCCUACGGGAGGCAGCAGUGGGGAAUAUUGCACAAUGGACGAAAGUUUGAUGCAGCGACGACGCGUGGAGGGUGUAGGCCUUCGGGUUGUGAACUCCUUUUUCUCGCGAAAAAGGCACAGUUUUGGCUGUGUUGAUGGUAGUGGGGGAAGAAGCGCCGGCUAACUACGUG
RNAcentral lists this ribosomal RNA (483 nucleotides) under uncultured bacterium. RNAcentral describes it as "partial 16S ribosomal RNA". It matches the Rfam family "Bacterial small subunit ribosomal RNA", at positions 28 to 507 of the family's 1533-position model. The record is from RNAcentral.